GAAUUCUACCAUAUACCCAAGGCAUACAGACAUAACAUGAAAACUCCCUGCCAAAAACAAAACAAAUUCUACUUCAUAGACACUGAGAAAAAGCAGCCAUCUAUGAUCCAGAAAAAUGGGAACUUACCAGACAUUGAAUCUGCCAGCACAUUGACCUUGGAUGUCCCAGUCUCCAGAACUAUGAUUAAUGUUGUUAUGGAAGCUGGAGGCUGAGAAGUCCCAUUAUCUGCCACCAGUACGAGCCAGAAUCCCAGGAAAACUCAUGGUAUAAUUUCAA
This is a long non-coding RNA of Homo sapiens (human), 277 nucleotides long. RefSeq annotates it as long intergenic non-protein coding RNA 2797. NCBI's taxonomy places the organism in Eukaryota, Metazoa, Chordata, Mammalia, Primates, Hominidae. The transcript has 3 exons. The record is from RefSeq and is a predicted model, not a curated record.